RNAcentral lists this ribosomal RNA (1226 nucleotides) under Halimeda copiosa. RNAcentral's name for it is "SSU rRNA". It matches the Rfam family "Eukaryotic small subunit ribosomal RNA", at positions 576 to 1831 of the family's 1831-position model. Lineage: Eukaryota; Viridiplantae; Chlorophyta; Ulvophyceae; Bryopsidales; Halimedaceae. The record is from RNAcentral.
GCGGUAAUUCAAGCUCCAAUAGCGUAUAUGUAAAUUGUUGCGGUUGAAAAGCUCGUAGUUGGACUUCUGGCGUCCGCGUUCGGUCCGCCAAGCGCGAGCACUGUCCGCGGUCGUCGUCUCUGUCGACGUGGUGCGUCGGCCUUAAUUGGUCGGCACGCCGUCUGUCGGCGAUGUUACUUUGAGGAAAUCAGAGUGCUCAAGGCAAGCGUUCGCUCGUGACUUCACUAGCAUGGAAUAACACAGAUGGGCUCUUUCUCGCACUGUUGGUCUGCGUCAAUUGAGCAACGAUCGAUAGAGACGGUCGGGGGCAUUCGUAUUGCGCAGUUAGAGGUGAAAUUCUCCGAUCUGCGCAAGACGUACUAAUGCGAAAGCAGUUGCCAAGGACGUCCUCUUAUGAUCAAGAGCGAAAGUCGGGGGAUCAAAGAUGAUUAGAUACCGUCGUAGUCCCGACCAUAAAUGAUGCCGACUGAGCUUCGGCGACUCGACCUCAGGUCGGACGUCGGCGCUCUUAGAGAAAUUAAAGUCUUUGGGCUCCGGGGGUAGUAUGGUCGCAAGUCUGAAACUUGAAGGAAUUGACGGAAGGGCACCACAAGGCGUGGAUGUUGCGGCUUAAUUUGACUCAACACGGGAAAGCUUACUAGGUUUGGACACCUUUGUGAUGGACAGAUUGAAGCUCUUACCCUACUGCGUGGAUGGUGGUGCAUGGUCGUUCUCAGCCCGUGGGUUGACCUGUCAGGUUUACUCCGGUAACGCGCGAGACCUCGGUCUGCUAAAUAGACGCGGCUGUCUCGGCACCCGCGCUCUUCUUAGAGAGAGACUCGACGAGAGUCGAGGGAAGUCGAGGCAAUAACAGAUCUGUGAUGCCCUUAGUUAUCCUAGGUCGCACGCGCCAUACAAUGUGGCGCACAACGAGUCUCCUUGGCCGACAGGAUCUGGGCAAUCUGGCAGAGCGCUACGUGACUGGGCUAGACUUUUGUAAUUUUUGGUCUUGAACGAGGAAUGCCUAGUAAUCGCAGGUCAGCAUCCUGCGAUGAUUCGGUCCCUGCCCUUUGUACACACCGCCCGUCGCUCCAUCCGUGGCAUGCGCCGGUGAAGAGGGGGAGGCAGCGUCGGCCGGGUAACACCGGAUCGCACGUGGAACCCCUCUGAACCUUCGCACGUAGAGGAAGGAGAAGUCGUAACAAGGUUUUCGUAGGUGAACCUGCGAAAGGAUCAUUAUCGGCACA